AGAAAGAGGGAAGGGGAGGCGCAGGGUAGAUAGAACAGGAGCAAAGGUGGCAGCUCCUCCAUACCCAUCCGCCCUUUACUGUACCCAGGUAUCCCAAAUAUUUAGGGGGUGGGGAUGGGGGAAGGGUGCAGACAACAGUUGAAGUUUCAUCACGAAGAAAUGUUUUGCCACUUCCCGACAGAGAAAACAGAAACCUGCCCCGAAUAACCGGAACGUAGAUCAAGACACUGAGGCCUGGCAGUGCAGCUGGCUCUUUGUUAAAAACUCACUUAACAUGAAAGUGCUGCUGCAGAUGUUCCUGCCCAAAGCCCAACAACAGAGACAUCACAAAUGCAGCCAGAUUCAUCUUCUCCAACAAUGAUUGAAUCCAGCUUCUCCUCUAGCGCAGACACCACCCCUACACGAUUCACCAUCCUUAUCCUGCUCCUGGGCUUAUCGAAGGGCCUCAUUUUCCUGUGCAUAGUUUGUGCUGCCACCUGGGGGAGCGUGCGGGACCGGAAGAGCCACAGGGAGAUGGUGUCCAGACGGACACGCUCAUGAUCUGCCUCUUUGCAAGCAGAACCAGAAGUAGCAGAAGAAGGCUGGUUUCCAGCUUUGGGUAAAGCAUCCUACACAAAGAACCUCAUUUUCUUCUUGUCUCAAGUGAAGCUAUUUCCCCCAGAGGCUGAAGUCUGCUGGAGGUGUCCGUCUCUGUGUUUCCCAGACCAGGGUAGCUAGGUUUGUAUCACUUGAGGAUCAAAGAGAAAAGCCCCCAGGAAGGACAAUUUGGCCAGGGAGACAAAAGUUCUUUUGAGAAAAACAAGUGAAAAAGCUCUUUUCCUACGAGGAAAGGAUUGGAGAGCCUAGGGCCAAAUCCAUGCCUGAUGCAAGCGAACGUAACUCCACCAAGACUACCUCUAUAGUACAACGUUUUACCGACAAACUGCCAACAAACCAAUGAGACUGCACACCCUGCUAGGUGAGAUUGUCAGGCAAAUUGCCCAUUUCAGUGACAACUUCCACCCUGUGAGAGAGUUUUCUCUUCCCUUAAUCAUGGACAAAGAGCCAGAGUGGAUCCUGCUGUCUGGUUUAUUGCCACAAUUGUCUUCCACCAGUAUCCCACAAUGCCUGCCCUGCUUGCUGUGCUCAGAGUCUGGAGCUCUGCUGCCCAACGGGUGAGCUCCCCUCCCCUUUCAGAGCUCUGGGACGUACCUGACAGCUGAGUGAGCUACUCGUUGGACUGCUCCUGUUCUGCCCUGCACUAGAAACACAGCGGCUGGCAGACUGCUGCUGCACGGGGAAGGGCACAUGCGGCUGUGCUGCUUUGACAUUCCUCAGCUGGGAGAGCUCAGGGCUAUUCCUGAGGCUGCUGCCAUGAAAUGAGGAGUCCAUGGGAGAACUCAGAGGGAAUCCCAAGAUGUGCGGAGAUCAGCUCUGCUGUCCCACCACACUGCACCAAGUGCUGUAAGUUUUGUCAACAGAAAUUGGUAGCGGAGAUGUAGACACAGUCAGUGACCCAAACCACAGGGUCAGAGCCAGCAGUGACAGAGGCUGCCCUGAAUCAACUGGACUCUUCAUAGUCAUAGGCCUUGUCUAUCCUCCCCUCAGCCCACUAUCAAGCUACUUCAGUUGUCCUCGUUCAUGGGCGCACACUCAGGGUAUGUCUACACUACCCCGCUAGUUCAA
Molecule: non-coding RNA, 1665 nt
Organism: Pelodiscus sinensis (Chinese soft-shelled turtle)
Lineage: Eukaryota; Metazoa; Chordata; Testudines; Trionychidae
Source: RefSeq, a predicted model, not a curated record